RNAcentral lists this unclassified non-coding RNA (28 nucleotides) under synthetic construct. The record is from RNAcentral.
GGACGUUAAAAGGCUUCGGCCUACGUCC